UUUGUGCAACUUAAUUUCUUACAAUUCUAAUGCUUGAUGUAGAGCCCAAGGUCCGAAGGCCAUGUCGAUGAGGAAAAUCAUGAUGCUGAAUCUGAAGAUGAUGGUUCAGAUCACAAUGCUCAUUCUGAUGCAGAGGAAUUAUUGCUUGACAAUAGGCGUUCAGCAGCCCCAUCAGUGCAGCAACCUCCUCGGUCCCAACAAUGCAGCCCCACCAGUGUUGCCCCAGCAACCCUUCCAAGGAAUGAUG
This 247-nucleotide long non-coding RNA is filed under the name Setaria italica (foxtail millet). RNAcentral describes it as "long non-coding RNA (SITA_LNC001088)". The record is from RNAcentral. Lineage: Eukaryota; Viridiplantae; Streptophyta; Magnoliopsida; Poales; Poaceae.